UGAACGCAGCAUUUCAACGUGGACCAAACUGUAAUAGCGCAUAAAUCCCAGGGAAAAAAUUUAAAAACAAAAGGCAUGCAAAAAGGGCAAAAAUCAAAUGAGGACACAAAAGCGAGGAACCAGAUGUGAAUUUACCCAUUUGGGGUAAAAAUGCACAAAUUCACCCAUUUAGAGCGCCGUUUGAUUUGUCUCUUUUUUAACCAAAAAAAAAAAUUAUUAAAACUCAUUUACUGCUUAAAACAAAGGAUAUUCCAUCUUUGAAACGCCCCCUUUCCUGCUCUUCUUCGACAAAUCCAAGAGAAACAGCUCAACCGCCAUUUUGAGCCGAGCUUCGAUUUCAGAGAGGGCUUCUCCGAUGCCGCGACGGUGGGUUCAGGUAUAAUGGACGUGGGGCGUGGGUCGUGCUUCACGCUCGUUGGCCGGACAUGCGAGGUGGAGUGCGUGGUGGUGGAGAACGUGGGUAGUGGAAGCAUGGAGGCAGUUGGAGGCUAGGGUCUUGGCUGAAAAAUAUUUUUGGGGUUUGUGGGUUAGGGUUAAGUAUUUGGGCUUCAAAAUUGGGUCUGUUUUUGGUCUUUGGGGUUUGUUUUUGGUUUAAAAAUUUGGGUUUUAAUGGUAAAUGGGCCCGGGCAAAAAUUGGUACCCACACUAAGCUUAAAAGUAAAAGAAAAAACACUUGCCAUUAAUUAAAUUAUUUGCUUAUUUUCCGUUUGGGAAAAGAAGUGAUGAUAAAUUAUGAGUUUUUGUUUGAAUGGAAGAUAAAAUUAAUUAA
Long non-coding RNA from Gossypium arboreum, 769 nucleotides. RefSeq lists it as uncharacterized. The record is from RefSeq and is a predicted model, not a curated record. The transcript has 2 exons. Lineage: Eukaryota; Viridiplantae; Streptophyta; Magnoliopsida; Malvales; Malvaceae.